ACCUUCGGGCCUCUUGCCAUCGGAUGUGCCCAGAUGGGAUUAGCUAGUAGGUGGGGUAACGGCUCACCUAGGCGACGAUCCCUAGCUGGUCUGAGAGGAUGACCAGCCACACUGGAACUGAGACACGGUCCAGACUCCUACGGGAGGCAGCAGUGGGGAAUAUUGCACAAUGGGCGCAAGCCUGAUGCAGCCAUGCCGCGUGUAUGAAGAAGGCCUUCGGGUUGUAAAGUACUUUCAGCGGGGAGGAAGGGAGUAAAGUUAAUACCUUUGCUCAUUGACGUUACCCGCAGAAGAAGCACCGGCUAACUCCGUGCCAGCAGCCGCGGUAAUACGGAGGGUGCAAGCGUUAAUCGGAAUUACUGGGCGUAAAGCGCACGCAGGCGGUUUGUUAAGUCAGAUGUGAAAUCCCCGGGCUCAACCUGG
This 423-nucleotide ribosomal RNA is filed under the name Escherichia coli. Its description in RNAcentral is "bacterial SSU rRNA". It matches the Rfam family "Bacterial small subunit ribosomal RNA", at positions 199 to 617 of the family's 1533-position model. The record is from RNAcentral. Lineage: Bacteria; Pseudomonadati; Pseudomonadota; Gammaproteobacteria; Enterobacterales; Enterobacteriaceae.